This 138-nucleotide ribosomal RNA is filed under the name uncultured bacterium. RNAcentral describes it as "partial 16S ribosomal RNA". It matches the Rfam family "Bacterial small subunit ribosomal RNA", at positions 355 to 507 of the family's 1533-position model. The record is from RNAcentral.
UGAGGAAUUUUCCGCAAUGGGCGAAAGCCUGACGGAGCAAUACCGCGUGGAGGAGGAAGGCCCGUGGGUCGUAAACUCCUUUUCUCAGAGAAGAACACAAUGACGGUAUCUGAGGAAUAAGCAUCGGCUAACUCCGUG